CAACAAUUUUCCGUUAUCGCGAUGCGUUCGAAGCAUCCUAUUAAGCGACAAUCAUCGUUCCCUUUGUAAAACAAUAAACAAACAUAAUAUUCGUUUGUUUCCAAAAAUUAUAAUAACUAGAAUUGUUAUGAAAAGAAUACUUUCUUCUUCCACAUCGUUUUUCUUCUCAGGAAACACUACUUUAAAGGUAUCUCUUCGUCUACAUGCCAUGAUCAGACCGGUACAAUAACAAAACGAAGAUAAUAAUAAUAUGAAUCCAAGAUAACCCAUGUGACGCAUAAAUGCUGUAACGCCGCAAAUGAAAUAAAUAAAGAAAUGAAAUUUA
Vespula pensylvanica (western yellowjacket) is the source of this 325-nucleotide long non-coding RNA. RefSeq lists it as uncharacterized. NCBI's taxonomy places the organism in Eukaryota, Metazoa, Arthropoda, Insecta, Hymenoptera, Vespidae. The record is from RefSeq and is a predicted model, not a curated record. The transcript is spliced from 2 exons.